This 290-nucleotide ribosomal RNA is filed under the name Vibrio sp. UCD-FRSSP16_10. RNAcentral's name for it is "partial 16S ribosomal RNA". It matches the Rfam family "Bacterial small subunit ribosomal RNA", at positions 1 to 276 of the family's 1533-position model. The record is from RNAcentral. Lineage: Bacteria; Pseudomonadati; Pseudomonadota; Gammaproteobacteria; Vibrionales; Vibrionaceae. RNAcentral also lists the same sequence under 1 other name.
UUAAUUGAAGAGUUUGAUCAUGGCUCAGAUUGAACGCUGGCGGCAGGCCUAACACAUGCAAGUCGAGCGGAAACGACAACAUUGACCCUUCGGGUGAUUUGUUGGGCGUCGAGCGGCGGACGGGUGAGUAAUGCCUGGGAAAUUGCCCUGAUGUGGGGGAUAACUAUUGGAAACGAUAGCUAAUACCGCAUAACGUCUACGGACCAAAGAGGGGGACCUUCGGGCCUCUCGCUUCAGGAUAUGCCCAGGUGGGAUUAGCUAGUUGGUGAGGUAAUGGCUCACCAAGGCGA